This 301-nucleotide ribosomal RNA is filed under the name uncultured bacterium. Its description in RNAcentral is "partial 16S ribosomal RNA". It matches the Rfam family "Bacterial small subunit ribosomal RNA", at positions 509 to 807 of the family's 1533-position model. The record is from RNAcentral.
CAGCCGCCACGGGAAUACGGAGGGUGCGAGCGUUAAUCGGAAUUACUGGGCGUAAAGGGUGCGUAGGCGGAUUGUUAAGUCAGGGGUGAAAUCCCGAGGCUCAACCUCGGAACUGCCUUUGAUACUGGCGAUCUUGAGUCCGGGAGAGGUGAGUGGAACUGCGAGUGUAGAGGUGAAAUUCGUAGAUAUUCGCAAGAACACCGGUGGCGAAGGCGGCUCACUGGCCCGGAACUGACGCUGAGGCACGAAAGCGUGGGGAGCAAACAGGAUUAGAUACCCCAGUAGUCCCUGUCUCUUAUAC